This 496-nucleotide ribosomal RNA is filed under the name uncultured bacterium. RNAcentral's name for it is "partial 16S ribosomal RNA". It matches the Rfam family "Bacterial small subunit ribosomal RNA", at positions 28 to 507 of the family's 1533-position model. The record is from RNAcentral.
GAUGAACGCUGGCGGCGUGCCUAAUACAUGCAAGUCGAGCGAACGGACGAGAAGCUUGCUUCUCUGAUGUUAGCGGCGGACGGGUGAGUAACACGUGGAUAACCUACCUAUAAGACUGGGAUAACUUCGGGAAACCGGAGCUAAUACCGGAUGAUAUUUUGAACCGCAUGGUUCAAAAGUGAAAGACGGUCUUGCUGUCACUUAUAGAUGGAUCCGCGCUGCAUUAGCUAGUUGGUAAGGUAACGGCUUACCAAGGCAACGAUGCAUAGCCGACCUGAGAGGUGAUCGGCCACACUGGAACUGAGACACGGUCCAGACUCCUACGGGAGGCAGCAGUAGGGAAUCUUCCGCAAUGGGCGAAAGCCUGACGGAGCAACGCCGCGUGAGUGAUGAAGGUCUUCGGAUCGUAAAACUCUGUUAUUAGGGAAGAACAUAUGUGUAAGUAACUGUGCACAUCUUGACGGUACCUAAUCAGAAAGCCACGGCUAACUACGUG